AUUGAACGCUGGCGGCAGGCUUAACACAUGCCAGUCGAGCGAGCGGCGGACGGGUGAGUAAUGUCUGGAAAACUGCCUGAUGGAGGGGGAUCACUACUGGAAACGAUAUCUAAUACCGCAUACCAUCAGAUGUGCCCAGAUGGGAUUAGCGAGUAGGUGGGGUAAUGGCUCACCAAGGCGACGAUCCCUAGCUGGUCUGAGAGGAUGACCAGCCACACUGGGACUGAGACACGGUCCAGACUCCUACGGGAGGCAGCAGUGGGGAAUAUUGCACAAUGGGCGAAAGCCUGAUGCAGCCAUGCCGCGUGUGUGAAGAAGGCCCUAGGGUUGUAAAGCACUUUCAGUGAGGAGGCGUUACUCGCAGAAGAAGCACCGGCUAACUCCGUGCCAGCAGCCGCGGUAAUAC
This 406-nucleotide ribosomal RNA is filed under the name uncultured bacterium. RNAcentral describes it as "partial 16S ribosomal RNA". It matches the Rfam family "Bacterial small subunit ribosomal RNA", at positions 30 to 526 of the family's 1533-position model. The record is from RNAcentral.